This 115-nucleotide microRNA precursor is filed under the name Chlorocebus sabaeus (green monkey). RNAcentral describes it as "miRNA (ENSCSAG00000023056.1)". Lineage: Eukaryota; Metazoa; Chordata; Mammalia; Primates; Cercopithecidae. The record is from RNAcentral.
AGACUGGUUAAUUAUAACAAUGCAUUGUUAAACCUUCAGAAGGAAAGAAUGUUUUGUACCAUUUUGAUUUUUUCUGGUAUGUGGUCAUUUUAAGUAAUUCAUUUUAAAAAUCAGU